RNAcentral lists this unclassified non-coding RNA (1675 nucleotides) under Hevea brasiliensis (rubber tree). Lineage: Eukaryota; Viridiplantae; Streptophyta; Magnoliopsida; Malpighiales; Euphorbiaceae. The record is from RNAcentral.
UUUGUUCUCAGUACAUCAAAGACCUUAUAUGUAGGUUUGAAGAAGAAAGGAACAUUUCAACAUUCAAGUUUCUUGGCUGGAGGAGCCACACUAUCUGCUGGAAGAUUAGUUGUGGAAGAUGGUCUUUUGAAGGCAGUCUGGCCUCACAGUGGACAUUAUCUUCCAACAGAAGAGAACUUUCAGGAGUUCAUGUCCUUUCUUAGGGAACAGAACGUAGACCUCACUGAUGUAAAGGAAAGCCCUGAUGAAGAAGAAGAAGCCAUUACCAAACAGGACAACAGCGUUAGUUUCCAAGACAACCAACCAGAUACAGAUUUUUGUCAAGGCACCAAAGUGACAAACAUUGAAAGCUUCCCUCAGCAAAACACAAAUUUCAGGGAACAAGACUCUAACGCUGAAGAAAAUACUGAUGUACAAUCAACAAAAAUGUCUCCUAAACUAUGCUUGAAGAUUACUAAACUUGAGAUACCAAGUAGAAGUGAUAUGUAUGAAACUUUCAAGGAGGUUGCAACAACUGAACCAAGCAGCAAUGCCAAGCCUCCUACAUCUUCCAUUGACAAUGGUUUUGAAUCAGCAAAAGAUUCAUUUUCCCAGGACGAUGGUUAUGAAUCAGCAGAAGAUUCAUUUUUGACAGAGGAAGAUUUCAUGUUUCUUAAGAUGAAUCUGUUUGAUGAAGAACAAGAAAAAGAAGAUGAAGAACCCAUCCCAAAAGAAAAAAUAGUGAAAAGGAUAAAUUCACAUAAAAGAAUGAACUCAUUUCAGCUGGCUAAUCAAUUAUCAUCUAAAUGGACCACAGGGGCAGGGCCACGGAUUGGGUGUAUGAGGGACUACCCAUCAGAGCUUCAAUUCAGGGUUUUAGAGCAUGCAAACUUGUCUCCAAGACAUGGAAGUGCCAACUCAACUCCCCCGACGACAUCCCGUUUUAGCCCAAAGGAUUUGACAACAACUUCUGCAUGCAUGGAGACAAUCUCCAGAAGUCCCCUUGCUCAAGGUCAGGUUGUAUUAUCAAAAACUUCAGCACCUUAGGCUGUUUUCCUUCAUUUAGUUCUUCAACCGGGGAGGAGAAGGUGAUAUAGGAAUUCUUUUACACUUUUUUCUUUUCUUUUUCUUUUUCCAUUCUACCUCCAAGAGUCAGAGGCGUUAUUUAGUUCUUUUUUUUUUUUUACUAUUUUUAAAAUUUUUUGCUGUUCCCAUAUUUAUAUAUUCCCUGGCAUUUUCACGUCCCCGCAUUUGCUUCCAUGCAUACCAGAGUAGGGAUCUAAGCCUCUUGAGCUUCUAGUAGAGCUCUUCUCAAUGCGCGUGGUUCAAGUAGAUUUGCUAAAUAUCAACGAAUGAUAUACUCAUGCGGGUGUCGAUCUCUAAUAACGUUUUACUGGAGAAGCUGGAAUUUGUUGUUAAAGGCAAUAUUAACAUGAAAUAGUCAAGCUGUCCAGGAUAUGAAAAAUCCAAGCCUCUGGUAUCAUUACCAAAAUUGAACAGCAAAGUAGAGAACCCGCAUUCUUUCAGCAGAGAAUUUUCACGUGAUUCGAAAAGUGAACAAAUUUCAUGUUUCUUUUAGCUAUCAAAGAAGAACUAAUUACAACAUAGUGUUUAUAGCUUAUUACAUGCUACAACCACAAAUAUUAAUUUGCAAUCAAGGCAACAAUAUACAUACAAUUACUCUCUCUCUCUCUCU